RNAcentral lists this ribosomal RNA (490 nucleotides) under uncultured bacterium. Its description in RNAcentral is "partial 16S ribosomal RNA". It matches the Rfam family "Bacterial small subunit ribosomal RNA", at positions 30 to 507 of the family's 1533-position model. The record is from RNAcentral.
AUUGAACGCUGGCGGCAUGCUUUACACAUGCAAGUCGGACGGCAGCACAGAGAAGCUUGCUUCUUGGGUGGCGAGUGGCGAACGGGUGAGUAACAUAUCGGAACGUACCGAGCAGUGGGGGAUAACUAAUCGAAAGAUUAGCUAAUACCGCAUAUCUUCUGAGGAAGAAAGCAGGGGACCAUUUGGCCUUGCGCUGUUUGAGCGGCCGAUAUCUGAUUAGCUAGUUGGUGGGGUAAAGGCCUACCAAGGCGACGAUCAGUAGCGGGUCUGAGAGGAUGAUCCGCCACACUGGGACUGAGACACGGCCCAGACUCCUACGGGAGGCAGCAGUGGGGAAUUUUGGACAAUGGGCGCAAGCCUGAUCCAGCCAUGCCGCGUGUCUGAAGAAGGCCUUCGGGUUGUAAAGGACUUUUGUCAGGGAAGAAAAGGGCGGGGUUAAUACCCCUGUCUGAUGACGGUACCUGAAGAAUAAGCACCGGCUGACUACGUG